GAUGAACGCUGGCGGCGUGCCUAAUACAUGCAAGUCGAGCGAACGGACGAGAAGCUUGCUUCUCUGAUGUUAGCGGCGGACGGGUGAGUAACACGUGGAUAACCUACCUAUAAGACUGGGAUAACUUCGGGAAACCGGUGCUAAUACCGGAUAAUAUUUUGAACCGCAUGGUUCAAAAGUGAAAGACGGUCUUGCUGUCACUUAUAGAUGGAUCCGCGCUGCAUUAGCUAGUUGGUAAGGUAACGGCUUACCAAGGCAACGAUGCAUAGCCGACCUGAGAGGGUGAUCGGCCACACUGGAACUGAGACACGGUCCAGACUCCUACGGGAGGCAGCAGUAGGGAAUCUUCCGCAAUGGGCGAAAGCCUGACGGAGCAACGCCGCGUGAGUGAUGAAGGUCUUCGGAUCUUAAAACUCUGUUAUUAGGGAAGAACAUAUGUGUAAGUAACUGUGCACAUCUUGACGGUACCUAAUCAGAAAGCCACGGCUAACUACGUG
This 497-nucleotide ribosomal RNA is filed under the name uncultured bacterium. Its description in RNAcentral is "partial 16S ribosomal RNA". It matches the Rfam family "Bacterial small subunit ribosomal RNA", at positions 28 to 507 of the family's 1533-position model. The record is from RNAcentral.